UGUAUGUAUAUAAUAUAAAUUAACUGCGUAAAAGUCAAUGCAAAGAUUACUCCAUCCAAUGAGAGUUCAAUAUUACUAAAUGUUUCAGCUACAUGUACUUAUUGCUCUACUAAUAGUUUCCCAUACAUGCGUAUGUUCAUCAGGCGC
This is a long non-coding RNA of Octopus sinensis (East Asian common octopus), 147 nucleotides long. RefSeq lists it as uncharacterized. NCBI's taxonomy places the organism in Eukaryota, Metazoa, Mollusca, Cephalopoda, Octopoda, Octopodidae. The transcript is spliced from 3 exons. The record is from RefSeq and is a predicted model, not a curated record.